GGGAGUGUAGUUCAGUGGUAGAGCAUUUGCAUAGCAUGCAAGAGGCCCUGAGUUUGAUCCCCAGCACCA
Molecule: transfer RNA, 69 nt
Filed under: Heterocephalus glaber (naked mole-rat)
Lineage: Eukaryota; Metazoa; Chordata; Mammalia; Rodentia; Bathyergidae
Rfam family: tRNA
About the family: Transfer RNA (tRNA) molecules are approximately 80 nucleotides in length. Their secondary structure includes four short double-helical elements and three loops (D, anti-codon, and T loops).
Source: Rfam by way of RNAcentral